This 409-nucleotide ribosomal RNA is filed under the name Actinomycetes bacterium. Its description in RNAcentral is "Actinobacteria bacterium partial 16S ribosomal RNA". It matches the Rfam family "Bacterial small subunit ribosomal RNA", at positions 355 to 776 of the family's 1533-position model. Lineage: Bacteria; Bacillati; Actinomycetota; Actinomycetes. The record is from RNAcentral.
UGGGGAAUAUUGCACAAUGGGCGGAAGCCUGAUGCAGCGACGCCGCGUGGGGGAUGAAGGCCUUCGGGUUGUAAACUCCUUUCGACAGGGACGAAGCUUUUGUGACGGUACCUGUAUAAGAAGCACUGGCUAACUACGUGCCAGCAGCCGCGGUAAUACGUAGGGUGCGAGCGUUGUCCGGAAUUACUGGGCGUAAAGAGCUCGUAGGUGGUUUGUCGCGUCGUCUGUGAAAUUCCGGGGCUUAACUCCGGGCGUGCAGGCGAUACGGGCUGACUUGAGUGCUGUAGGGGAGACUGGAAUUCCUGGUGUAGCGGUGAACUGCGCAGAUAUCAGGAGGAACACCGAUGGCGAAGGCAGGUCUCUGGGCAGUAACUGACGCUGAGGAGCGAAAGCAGGGGUAGCGAACAGG